Molecule: ribosomal RNA, 486 nt
Filed under: uncultured bacterium
Lineage: Bacteria
Description: bacterial SSU rRNA
Rfam family: Bacterial small subunit ribosomal RNA
Source: RNAcentral
GAUGAACGCUAGCGGCAGGCCUAACACAUGCAAGUCGAGGGGUAACAUAGGAAAGCUUGCUUUUCUGAUGACGACCGGCGCACGGGUGCGUAACGCGUAUACAACCUACCUUUUAGCGGGGAAUAGCCCAGGGAAACUUGGAUUAAUGCCCAUAGUAUAUAGACUUCUCCUGAAGUUUAUAUUAAACAUUUAUGGCUAUUAGAUGGGUAUGCGUCCUAUUAGUUAGUUGGUAAGGUAACGGCUUACCAAGGCAGCGAUAGGUAGGGGUCCUGAGAGGGAGAUCCCCACACUGGUACUGAGACACGGACCAGACUCCUACGGGAGGCAGCAGUGAGGAAUAUUGGACAAUGGGCGAGAGCCUGAUCCAGCCAUGCCGCGUGCAGGAAGACUGCCCUAUGGGUUGUAAACUGCUUUUACAGAGGAAGAACCACCCCCACGUGUGGGGGUUUGACGGUACUCUGCGAAUAAGGAUCGGCUAACUCCGUG